Molecule: ribosomal RNA, 456 nt
Filed under: Cryptosporidium parvum
Lineage: Eukaryota; Apicomplexa; Conoidasida; Eucoccidiorida; Cryptosporidiidae
Description: SSU rRNA
Rfam family: Eukaryotic small subunit ribosomal RNA
Source: RNAcentral
AGUUGUUGCAGUUAAAAAGCUCGUAGUUGGAUUUCUGUUAAUAAUUUAUAUAAAAUAUUUUGAUGAAUAUUUAUAUAAUAUUAACAUAAUUCAUAUUACUAUAUAUUUUAGUAUAUGAAAUUUUACUUUGAGAAAAUUAGAGUGCUUAAAGCAGGCAUAUGCCUUGAAUACUCCAGCAUGGAAUAAUAUUAAAGAUUUUUAUCUUUCUUAUUGGUUCUAAGAUAAGAAUAAUGAUUAAUAGGGACAGUUGGGGGCAUUUGUAUUUAACAGUCAGAGGUGAAAUUCUUAGAUUUGUUAAAGACAAACUAGUGCGAAAGCAUUUGCCAAGGAUGUUUUCAUUAAUCAAGAACGAAAGUUAGGGGAUCGAAGACGAUCAGAUACCGUCGUAGUCUUAACCAUAAACUAUGCCAACUAGAGAUUGGAGGUUGUUCCUUACUCCUUCAGGACCUUAAUAUU